UACGUAGGGGGCUAGCGUUGUCCGGAAUCAUUGGGCGUAAAGCGCGCGUAGGCGGCCCGGUAAGUCCGCUGUAAAAGUCAAAGGCUCAACCUUUGAAUGUCAGUGGAUACUGCCGGGCUAGAGUCCGGAAGAGGCGAGUGGAACUCCUGGUGUAGCGGUGGAAUGCGCAGAUAUCAGGAGGAACACCGAUGGCGAAGGCAGGUCUCUGGGCCACUACUGACGCUGAGAAGCGAGAGCAUGGGGAGCGAACAGG
RNAcentral lists this ribosomal RNA (253 nucleotides) under uncultured bacterium. RNAcentral's name for it is "partial 16S ribosomal RNA". It matches the Rfam family "Bacterial small subunit ribosomal RNA", at positions 524 to 776 of the family's 1533-position model. The record is from RNAcentral.